GCAGUCGAGCGAUGGAUUAAGAGCUUGCUCUUAUGAAGUUAGCGGCGGACGGGUGAGUAACACGUGGGUAACCUGCCCAUAAGACUGGGAUAACUCCGGGAAACCGGGGCUAAUACCGGAUAACAUUUUGAACCGCAUGGUUCGAAAUUGAAAGGCGGCUUCGGCUGUCACUUAUGGAUGGACCCGCGUCGCAUUAGCUAGUUGGUGAGGUAACGGCUCACCAAGGCAACGAUGCGUAGCCGACCUGAGAGGGUGAUCGGCCACACUGGGACUGAGACACGGCCCAGACUCCUACGGGAGGCAGCAGUAGGGAAUCUUCCGCAAUGGACGAAAGUCUGACGGAGCAACGCCGCGUGAGUGAUGAAGGCUUUCGGGUCGUAAAACUCUGUUGUUAGGGAAGAACAAGUGCUAGUUGAAUAAGCUGGCACCUUGACGGUACCUAACCAGAAAGCCACGGCUAACUACGUGCCAGCAGCCGCGGUAAUACGUAGGUGGCAAGCGUUAUCCGGAAUUAUUGGGCGUAAAGCGCGCGCAGGUGGUUUCUUAAGUCUGAUGUGAAAGCCCACGGCUCAACCGUGGAGGGUCAUUGGAAACUGGGAGACUUGAGUGCAGAAGAGGAAAGUGGAAUUCCAUGUGUAGCGGUGAAAUGCGUAGAGAUAUGGAGGAACACCAGUGGCGAAGGCGACUUUCUGGUCUGUAACUGACACUGAGGCGCGAAAGCGUGGGGAGCAAACAGGAUUAGAU
This 744-nucleotide ribosomal RNA is filed under the name Bacillus sp. Ak2. RNAcentral describes it as "bacterial SSU rRNA". It matches the Rfam family "Bacterial small subunit ribosomal RNA", at positions 57 to 783 of the family's 1533-position model. Lineage: Bacteria; Bacillati; Bacillota; Bacilli; Caryophanales; Bacillaceae. The record is from RNAcentral.